UGGCCGAAAACAAAGUGCAGCGAAUCCGCGAGGAGGAGCGAAUCACAAAACUCGGUCCCAGUUCAGAUUGCAGGCUGCAACUCGCCUGCAUGAAGUUGGAAUUGCUAGUAAUCGCGAAUCAGAAUGUCGCGGUGAAUACGUUCCCGGGCCUUGUACACACCGCCCGUCAAGCCAUGGGAGCCGGGGGCGCCUGAAGUCCGGGACCGCGAGGACCGGCCUAGGGCGAAACUGGUAACUGGGGCUAAGUCGUAACAAGGUACC
This 261-nucleotide ribosomal RNA is filed under the name uncultured bacterium. RNAcentral's name for it is "partial 16S ribosomal RNA". It matches the Rfam family "Bacterial small subunit ribosomal RNA", at positions 1229 to 1500 of the family's 1533-position model. The record is from RNAcentral.